CCUACGGGAGGCUGCAGUCGAGAAUCAUUCACAAUGGGGGAAACCCUGAUGGUGCGACGCCGCGUGGGGGAAUGAAGGUCUUCGGAUUGUAAACCCCUGUCAUGUGGGAGCAAAUUAAAAAGAUAGUACCACAAGAGGAAGAGACGGCUAACUCGGUGCCAGCAGCCGCGGUAAUCCAGAGGUCUCAAGCGUUGUUCGGAAUCACUGGGCGUAAAGCGUGCGUAGGCUGUUUCGUAAGUCGGGUGUGAAAGGCGCGGGCUCAACCCGCGGAUGGCACAUGAUACUGCGAGACUAGAGUAAUGGAGGGGGAACCGGAAUUCUCGGUGUAGCAGUGAAAUGCGUAGAUAUCGAGAGGAACACUCGUGGCGAAGGCGGGUUCCUGGACAUUAACUGACGCUGAGGCACGAAGGCCAGGGGAGCGAAAGGGAUUAGAUACCCUAGUAGUC
This 446-nucleotide ribosomal RNA is filed under the name uncultured bacterium. RNAcentral describes it as "partial 16S ribosomal RNA". It matches the Rfam family "Bacterial small subunit ribosomal RNA", at positions 338 to 795 of the family's 1533-position model. The record is from RNAcentral.